This 468-nucleotide ribosomal RNA is filed under the name uncultured bacterium. RNAcentral describes it as "partial 16S ribosomal RNA". It matches the Rfam family "Bacterial small subunit ribosomal RNA", at positions 28 to 507 of the family's 1533-position model. The record is from RNAcentral.
GACGAACGCUGGCGGCGUGCUUAACACAUGCAAGUCGAACGGAAAGGCCCUGCUUUUGUGGGGUGCUCGAGUGGCGAACGGGUGAGUAACACGUGAGUAACCUGCCCUUGACUUUGGGAUAACUUCAGGAAACUGGGGCUAAUACCGGAUAGGAGCUCCUGCUGCAUGGUGGGGGUUGGAAAGUUUCGGCGGUUGGGGAUGGACUAGCGGCUUAUCAGCUUGUUGGUGGGGUAGUGGCUUACCAAGGCUUUGACGGGUAGCCGGCCUGAGAGGGUGACCGGCCACAUUGGGACUGAGAUACGGCCCAGACUCGUACAGGAGGCAGCAGUGGGGAAUAUUGCACAGUGGGCGGAAGCCUGAUGCAGCAACGCCGCGUGCGGGAUGACGGCCUUCGGGUUGUAAACCGCAUUCGCCUGUGACGAAGCGUGAGUGACGGUAAUGAGUAAAGAAGCACCGGCUAACUACGUG